UGCAUAUCCCAAAAGCGGAGGAAAAGAAACUAACAAGGAUUCCCCUAGUAACUGCGAGUGAAGCGGGAAAAGCUCAAAUUUAAAAUCUGGUGGUCUUCUGGCCAUCCGAGUUGUAAUCUAGAGAAGUGUUAUCCGUGCUGGACCGUGUACAAGUCCCCUGGAAUGGGGCGUCAUAGAGGGUGAGAAUCCCGUCUUUGACACGGACUACCAGGGCUUUGUGAUGCACUCUCAACGAGUCGAGUUGUUUGGGAAUGCAGCUCAAAAUGGGUGGUAAAUUCCAUCUAAAGCUAAAUAUUGGCGAGAGACCGAUAGCGAACAAGUACCGUGAGGGAAAGAUGAAAAGAACUUUGGAAAGAGAGUUAAACAGUACGUGAAAUUGUUGAAAGGGAAACGCUUGAAGUCAGUCGCGUCGGCCGGGGAUCAACCUUGCUUUUGUGAGGCGUACUUCCUGGUUGACGGGUCAGCAUCAGUUUUGGCUGCUGGACAAAGGUCAGGGAAAUGUGGCACCUUCGGGUGUGUUAUAGUCUCUGAUCAUAUACAGUGGCUGGGACUGAGGAACUCAGCACGCCGAAAGGCCGGGGUUCGCCCACGUUCGUGCUUAGGAUGCUGGCAAAAUGGCUUUAAUCGACCCGUCUUGAAACACGGACCAAAGGAGUCA
This 658-nucleotide ribosomal RNA is filed under the name Pleurotus citrinopileatus. RNAcentral's name for it is "LSU rRNA". It matches the Rfam family "Eukaryotic large subunit ribosomal RNA", at positions 37 to 676 of the family's 3401-position model. The record is from RNAcentral. Lineage: Eukaryota; Fungi; Basidiomycota; Agaricomycetes; Agaricales; Pleurotaceae.